CAAAAGCGUAUAUUAAAGUUGUUGCAGUUAAAAAGCUCGUAGUUGAACCUUGGGCUUGGCUGGCCGGUCCAUCUUUUUUGAUGCGUACUGGACCCAGCCGAGCCUUUCCUUCUGGCUAGCCUUUUGGCGAACCAGGACUUUUACUUUGAAAAAAUUAGAGUGUUCAAAGCAGGCCUUUGCUCGAAUAUAUUAGCAUGGAAUAAUAGAAUAGGACGUUAUGGUUCUAUUUUGUUGGUUCCUAGGACCAUCGUAAUGAUUAAUAGGGACGGUCGGGGGUAUCAGUAUUCAGUUGUCAGAGGUGAAAUUCUUGGAUUUACUGAAGACUAACUACUGCGAAAGCAUUUACCAAGGACGUUUUCAUUAA
RNAcentral lists this ribosomal RNA (364 nucleotides) under uncultured eukaryote. RNAcentral describes it as "partial 18S ribosomal RNA". It matches the Rfam family "Eukaryotic small subunit ribosomal RNA", at positions 592 to 976 of the family's 1831-position model. The record is from RNAcentral.